Molecule: ribosomal RNA, 497 nt
Filed under: uncultured bacterium
Lineage: Bacteria
Description: partial 16S ribosomal RNA
Rfam family: Bacterial small subunit ribosomal RNA
Source: RNAcentral
GAUGAACGCUGGCGGCGUGCCUAAUACAUGCAAGUCGAGCGAACGGACGAGAAGCUUGCUUCUCUGAUGUUAGCGGCGGACGGGUGAGUAACACAUGGAUAACCUACCUAUAAGACUGGGAUAACUUCGGGAAACCGGAGCUAAUACCGGAUGAUAUUUUGAACCGCAUGGUUCAAAAGUGAAAGACGGUCUUGCUGUCACUUAUAGAUGGAUCCGCGCUGCAUUAGCUAGUUGGUAAGGUAACGGCUUACCAAGGCAACGAUGCAUAGCCGACCUGAGAGGGUGAUCGGCCACACUGGAACUGAGACACGGUCCAGACUCCUACGGGAGGCAGCAGUAGGGAAUCUUCCGCAAUGGGCGAAAGCCUGACGGAGCAACGCCGCGUGAGUGAUGAAGGUCUUCGGAUCGUAAAACUCUGUUAUUAGGGAAGAACAUAUGUGUAAGUAACUGUGCACAUCUUGACGGUACCUAAUCAGAAAGCCACGGCUAGCUACGUG